Harpegnathos saltator (Jerdon's jumping ant) is the source of this 781-nucleotide long non-coding RNA. RefSeq lists it as uncharacterized. NCBI's taxonomy places the organism in Eukaryota, Metazoa, Arthropoda, Insecta, Hymenoptera, Formicidae. The record is from RefSeq and is a predicted model, not a curated record. The transcript has 3 exons.
UUUUCGAUCGCUGGUGGCGAACCCGGAGUCGAAAUUUCAAAAUGCAAAAUGGCAGAUUCAAUAUGGCGGCUCCAAAUGACUAAUUUUGUUAUGCUAUUAUGGAGGAGAAUGUUGGAUAUUUGGUGAUGAUGAAUCCGAUCGAAAUUGCAAAACCGAAAAUGGCGGAUUCAAUAUGGCGGUUUCCAGUGAAUAAUUUUGUCAUUCCAUUAUGGAGAAGAUCAUAUUCGACAUGUUCAUGUUCUUCAGGUUGUUGAUAAUAAAUCCAAUCGAAAUUGCAAAAUCUAAAAUGGCGGAUGCAAUAGGAUCUCACGCAGUGGCUUUCAGUGACUAACGGUAUUCCAAUAUGGAUAAUCUUAUCUCCAUUAUUAGAUGAAUUACGUAGAAGGAAACUAUUUCUGUGCCGAAUGGCGUUUCUGGUGAAAAGCUUGAAUUUAUGACAGUCGGACCUGCAACCAAAAAACAUAUCGAGCUUGAUAUCCGCCAUAUUGGAUCCAUCAUUUAAUUACGAGUGCGGAUUCGUUAUCAGCGACCCAAAGAAACCCUUAUAGUGUAAUAUUUCCUACGUGCAGUGUACCGUUUUCAAGUAAGGCGGUUGGGCGCGUUAAACGCUCGAGUUGGCAAUACACACGGAGCGAAAUAAAAUGCGUAUCGCAGAACAUUUUUAAAAUUCACACUUGAACAGAUUUAAAUCGCUGCGUAGCGUGAUAAUAACCGUAGAUGUGUAUUGCAAUUAUUCAUCAGAACCAGAAGAAGUGGUGCGUUAAAUGUUCGCGAGUCUGUA